RNAcentral lists this ribosomal RNA (488 nucleotides) under uncultured soil bacterium. RNAcentral describes it as "bacterial SSU rRNA". It matches the Rfam family "Bacterial small subunit ribosomal RNA", at positions 26 to 522 of the family's 1533-position model. The record is from RNAcentral.
AGGACGAACGCUGGCGGCGUGCUUAACACAUGCAAGUCGAGCGAGGCUCUCCUUCGGGAGAUGUCCUAGCGGCGAACGGGUGAGUAACACGUGGGCAACCUGCCUCUAGCUCUGGGAUAACUCCGGGAAACCGGGGCUAAUACCGGAUACGACCUCGAGCGGCAUCUAUCGAGGUGGAAAGUUUUUCGGCUAGAGAUGGGCCCGCGGCCUAUCAGCUUGUUGGUGAGGUAACGGCCCACAAGGCGACGACGGGUAGCCGGCCUGAGAGGGCGACCGGCCACGACGUGGGACUGAGACACGGCCCAGACUCCGUACGGGAGGCAGCAGUGGGGAAUAGUUGCGCAAGUGGGACGAAAGCCUGACGCGGCGACGCCGCGUGAGGGAUGAAGGCCUUCGGGUGUAAACCUCUUUCAGCGAGGACGAAGCGACGAAGUGACGGUACUGCAAGAAGAAGCACCGGACCAACGUACGUGACCAGCGACGCCGAC